Dromaius novaehollandiae (emu) is the source of this 3267-nucleotide long non-coding RNA. RefSeq lists it as uncharacterized. NCBI's taxonomy places the organism in Eukaryota, Metazoa, Chordata, Aves, Casuariiformes, Dromaiidae. The record is from RefSeq and is a predicted model, not a curated record. The transcript is spliced from 3 exons.
UGUGUGAACUAUAUUAGAAGACUGUUAGUCUCUAGCUCAGCUAUAGCCAUGCCUGGACCCGGACCUGGACCCAGACCCAGACCCACAGACUGACUUUCUAGUUUGACCUUGGCCUCGUUGCCCCAGGCUUGCCUAGUGAUCUCAACUCAUGACUGAACCUUGCUGUAAUCUCUGGGUCUCCUUUUUCACCUUUCUUGGACCCUGGCUGGCAAGGCCACUGCUGGAUGUAGGAUCCCCCUUGGCUCCCCUUCCCUUUGGGAGCAGCCCAUCCUUGCUGCUCCCUGUUUGUUACUACUAGCAUCCUUCAAGGGUUGAUGCCGGAGCCGUUAGUAUUUAACAUCUUUGUAAAUCACCUGGUUGAUGGGACAGAACAAACCAUUAUCACAUUCACAGAUCUGGCUGAAUUGUAAAGAAUGGUUGCUGUGCUGAAGAGCAGGCUUUGCCAUUUAGAGGGAUCUUGAUAGGUGAUCAAGGAGAUAGCAGAAAUGGGCUGACAGGACCCUCGUAAAUUUUGGCAAAAGGAAAAGUGAAGCUUCUGUAUGGAAGAACUGUGUGAAACUGUGCAGGCUGCUUGCCAGCAAGCCAGAAAGCAGCUCCACAGAAAAGGGCUUGGGGUCCUGGUGGGCAACUUGACCGUAAGCCAGCAACGUGUGUUUGUGGCAAAGACCAACCACAUCCUGAGCUGUGUUAAUAAGACCACAGCCGGUAGGCCCAGGGAAGUGAUUCUUCCCCUCUACUUGCCGCUUGUGAGUCUUCAUCUGGAGUACUGUGUCCAGUUUUGGGCUUCCCCAGUACAAGAAAAGUAUUGACAUACUGUCAUGAGUCCAGCAGAAGGCCACCAAGCUGGCCAUGGGGCUGGAGCAUGUGGUGAACAAGGAGUGGCUGACAGCUGGGUCUCUUCAGCCUGGAGAAAAGAAGGCAAGGGGGAGACCUUGUUGCUGUUUUCUACUGCCAGAAGUGUGGAGAGGGAUGGUUACAGGGAAGGUGGAGCCAAGCCCUUCUCAAGGUUCACAGUGAUGGGUUGAGAGGCAACAGACAGAGACAAGAGAUUCCAAUUAGAUAAAAGGACAAGAGUCUUCCCAGUGAGUGUGGUCAAACACUGAGACAUGUGUCCAGAGAGGCUUUGGGAAUCUCCAUCCUUGAAGUUAUUCAAAGCUACCAGGCAAGGCCUUGAGGAACCUGAUCUAACUUCAAAGUUGGCUCUGCUGUGAGCAGGAGGUUGGACUGGCAGACCUUCAGAGGUCCCCUCCAACAUGAAGUAUUCUGUGAUUCUAUAAAGCGGGGAGGAGGAAUGAUGACAGCUUCUACUCCCCAUAAAAGACUUCAGCCUGAAACCUCAAAUAGUCUCCUAAGGAUUGUGGUCCUUCAGUCACAUAGAGAGCAAGUGGGAAACAGAUAUGUUGUUCUCAUCAGCACCAUCUGGUGUAGCGCAUUCUUCAUCUUGUGGCAAGGUCUAAUGGUUCUGCACUGCCUAUUGCCCCCUCAGCAUUAUACCCACAUCCACCUCUGGGCCCAGCUGUGCUGAAUUGCCUCAGGCCUCCUCGCAGCUUUCCAUCACCUGCUCAGCUGCAGAAACCCCUUUUUCUGGGCUUCCAGAUUCUCCUGGUCUCUUGAAAAAGACCCUUUCCUCAAGGCCAGUUGGCCUUGUGUCCUGAUCUUACCAUCUAUCUAUUUAUGUGACUUUAAAUGUCUGGACAGACUGAAUUUGUAUCUGGCUUUCUUGCUAGCCGGUUCCCUAUCGGCCAUAGUAUCCAAGGUUAAAAUUUCCUCUUAAUGUUUUAGUUCUGUGCAGGCCAAAACUUGCCAACUAUCAGCUAAAGGUGCUUGUUACGGUGCCCUGAAUGCUCUACUACAGUCAUUUUACCACAGUCACUCCUUCUCCCUAUUAGUAACCUUUAUCAACAUUACCUAGUAUUUACCAGUUGUUAGCAUAAGCCUGAAUUCAUGGGAGUUAAUAGCACUGUGAAGGCAGCAUGGAAAAUCUCCUGAGCACCUCAGUCUCUCUUCAGCAGUACCCCUUGCUGUGAGACAGUGGGAUGCUACAAAUCUUCAGGAGCUGCUCGCAGCUCUUUUGGCUAGAUGAAAGAUUACUAUGAUUUAGUGCUUGUGGAGUAAGCUAAUAGUAGAGGAAUAUGACAGGAAUCUAAAGAGAAGGGAAAAUGAAACUAAUCCUGCCCCAACUCAAAACAAAUAUUUAGAGUAAUAAUAAAAAAAAAUCCACAAAGUUUCCAGUAAUAAAGGAUGGAGACUGAAUGAAUAAAAUACCAGAAAUAAUAGCACAAUUUGCAAGCCAGAUUGUUCUCUACUUCAUAUCAGACCCUCCAGAUCUUAUGCUGUCAGUGCAAACCAUUGUCCCCUGGUCCUCCUAGCCUCCUUUUCCAGCUGCAGGGUGGGCAUCUCGCACAGCUGUGGCAUCAGGCUGGAGCUUUUCUCCUCACUGGAUGCUCCCUGGCCUGUGAGCAUCCUGAAAGCAGCAGCAAAAAUAAAGCCACGGCUGGUUGGCAGGAGACCUGCAGAUGCCAGCAGAGCAGAAAGGCAAGGGGUCAAAAGCUUGUCAGAAACUAAACUGGAGACCAACUCUGUGGUGAUGACAUAGUAAAAAAAAUUGUUAUGUCACGGCUGCUCCGCUGCUCCUGGGUCAAGCUUCCCGGAAGAGAGGAAUAUAAUAAAGGCAGCUCGUUUUGCAGACACAUCUGCUGAUGAGUUUGUAACCACUAGAUGGAACCCAAACACUUUCCUUUAACUCACUCAUCUGCUAUGGGGAGAUAACACUGAUUUUAGGUAACAGCAUGGUGCAAGUAGUAUCAACAUCAGCACUCAGUAGCACAAGGCUUGUACAGAAAUACAGAGAUAGCUUCAAGGUGUGGGUGUGUAAGUCAUUCAUUUCAGUGAGCACAGACACUGAGUAUUUUAUGUCCAAACCAUGGAAAUGUUAUUGGUUCUUACUGCAUGGCACAAAAAUCCCUGAUGAUUUGGUGAAGAGUGCUGAGGUACAUCCUCCAUGAGACAGAUCACCAGCACAGGAUUUUGCAUCAGGGUUUGUGUACAUCCCGUGAUGUUGCAACCCAGUCAGAGCUUCUGUAAAUACCAAAGAUAGUGUGGGGACAGCAACACCAGCCAAGUUGAGGCUCUGUCCUGCUUCAAGCGUACAGACCUGACAAGGUGUUCGGAUCAGACACAUUUCUGAUGGAGAAUGUAGGAUGGAGAACGUGGAAUAAUCCCCUUUCCCAUGUAUAUCUCAGGGGCUGAAAAAUAAAAUAAUGUCCC